UCACUGUUUGGUUUUUAGUGGAUCACCGAAAAGCGUUGGGUGUCGCGCCACGAAGAAGAAGGUAAUUUAACAUCUAGACCGCGAAGUGGCCACCCGCGUCAUAAUAAUGAUUCACAGCGGAGAUCUAUGGUCGAACAAUAUGAAAAUGUUGUCCCAAACAUGGAAUCUGGACGGAUAUCUGUCAAUAUGUGGGGCUGGAUUAGUGCCGCUGCACCUGGUGAACUAGUGUCAAUUGCAGGGCGCGCCACAGCUGCACAUUAUGUGGAAGUGUUACGUGACAGCAUACAUAACUAUUAUUCCCUGGCCAGCAAGAUCACCAGACGGGAUAUGCGAAAUGAGAGGACUGCAGAGGAAUUAGAGGCUCACUAUAUGGAAGUAUGGGAGAAUAUUAGAAGAACGGAUAUCUGUUUCAAUAUAGUCGGAUCCAUGCGGUGGCGCUUGCUUGCUUGGAGGUUAUAUUAAAUACUAAAACAAUUUAUUUAUAAAGUUAUAUCCAUUUUACUUUUUAACUCUUUAAACAUAGAACAUAAAGUAUUUUCUUCUCUUAACUUAUAUUAUGUUAAUAAUAUAGGUAAUAUCUUACUAAAAUUAACAGACAACAAAAGCAGCGCCACCGAAUGAUUACUAGUUUUUGUAAGGUUUAGCUUCAAUUUUCUUUUCUUUAUGAAAACGAUUACUUAAGCUAUAACCUUUAAAAUAGAU
Long non-coding RNA from Maniola jurtina (meadow brown), 702 nucleotides. RefSeq lists it as uncharacterized. NCBI's taxonomy places the organism in Eukaryota, Metazoa, Arthropoda, Insecta, Lepidoptera, Nymphalidae. The record is from RefSeq and is a predicted model, not a curated record. The transcript has 2 exons.